RNAcentral lists this ribosomal RNA (465 nucleotides) under uncultured bacterium. RNAcentral describes it as "partial 16S ribosomal RNA". It matches the Rfam family "Bacterial small subunit ribosomal RNA", at positions 28 to 507 of the family's 1533-position model. The record is from RNAcentral.
GACGAACGCUGGCGGCGUGCUUAACACAUGCAAGUCGAACGGAAAGGCCCUGCUUGCAGGGUACUCGAGUGGCGAACGGGUGAGUAACACGUGGGUGAUCUGCCCUGCACUUCGGGAUAAGCCUGGGAAACUGGGUCUAAUACCGGAUAGGAGCCAUUUUUAGUGUGAUGGUUGGAAAGUUUUUUCUGUGUAGGAUGAGCUCGCGGCCUAUCAGCUUGUUGGUGGGGUAAUGGCCUACCAAGGCGGCGACGGGUAGCCGGCCUGAGAGGGUGGACGGCCACAUUGGGACUGAGAUACGGCGCAGACGCCUACGGGAGGCAGCAGUGGGGAAUAUUGCACAACGGGCGCAAGCCUGAUGCAGCGACGCCGCGUGGGGGAUGACGGCCUUCGGGUUGUAAACUCCUUUCGCUAGGGACGAAGCUUUUUGUGACGGUACCUAGAGAAGAAGCAACGGCUAACUACGUG